This 90-nucleotide transfer RNA is filed under the name Thermaerobacter marianensis DSM 12885. RNAcentral's name for it is "tRNA-Ser". It matches the Rfam family "tRNA". Rfam says of the family: Transfer RNA (tRNA) molecules are approximately 80 nucleotides in length. Their secondary structure includes four short double-helical elements and three loops (D, anti-codon, and T loops). Further hydrogen bonds mediate the characteristic L-shaped molecular structure. tRNAs have two regions of fundamental functional importance: the anti-codon, which is responsible for specific mRNA codon recognition, and the 3' end, to which the tRNAs corresponding amino acid is attached (by aminoacyl-tRNA synthetases). tRNAs cope with the degeneracy of the genetic code in two manners: having more than one tRNA (with a specific anti-codon) for a particular amino acid; and 'wobble' base-pairing, i.e. permitting non-standard base-pairing at the 3rd anti-codon position. RNAcentral also lists the same sequence under 2 other names. Lineage: Bacteria; Bacillati; Bacillota; Clostridia; Eubacteriales; Clostridiales Family XVII. Incertae Sedis. The record is from RNAcentral.
GGAAGGGUGGCCGAGCGGUUUAAGGCACACGCCUGGAGAGCGUGUGUGGGCGCAAGCCCACCGUGGGUUCGAAUCCCACCCCUUCCGCCC